Molecule: ribosomal RNA, 497 nt
Filed under: uncultured bacterium
Lineage: Bacteria
Description: partial 16S ribosomal RNA
Rfam family: Bacterial small subunit ribosomal RNA
Source: RNAcentral
GAUGAACGCUGGCGGCGUGCCUAAUACAUGCAAGUCGAGCGAACAGACGAGGAGCUUGCUCCUCUGACGUUAGCGGCGGACGGGUGAGUAACACGUGGAUAACCUACCUAUAAGACUGGGAUAACUUCGGGAAACCGGAGCUAAUACCGGAUAAUAUAUUGAACCGCAUGGUUCAAUAGUGAAAGACGGUUUUGCUGUCACUUAUAGAUGGAUCCGCGCCGCAUUAGCUAGUUGGUAAGGUAACGGCUUACCAAGGCGACGAUGCGUAGCCGACCUGAGAGGGUGAUCGGCCACACUGGAACUGAGACACGGUCCAGACUCCUACGGGAGGCAGCAGUAGGGAAUCUUCCGCAAUGGGCGAAAGCUUGACGGAGCAACGCCGCGUGAGUGAUGAAGGUCUUCGGAUCGUAAAACUCUGUUAUUAGGGAAGAACAAAUAUGUAAGUAACUAUGCACGUCUUGACGGUACCUAAUCAGAAAGCCACGGCUAACUACGUG